This is a non-coding RNA of Zootermopsis nevadensis, 471 nucleotides long. The record is from RefSeq and is a predicted model, not a curated record. Lineage: Eukaryota; Metazoa; Arthropoda; Insecta; Blattodea; Termopsidae.
AUGGCACACCAACAGGAAGAUAAUCACGCCGACUUUCCACUUCAAGAUCUUGGACAGGAUUCUGCAGAAGGAAGUCAGAUCUCAGUACUUCGACGUGUAUCCUUACAUCACCCUCUGUGCUCUGGACAUUAUCUGUGAAACUACAAUGGGGAUCCCAGUUUAUGCACAAGAAGACUUAGAGUCGCCUUACAUCUCUGCAGUAUACGAGUGAGUGGGCAUUAUCAUCAUCAUCAUCCAGACUGUAUGUGGUAAAAACGGAGAGCAAUUUUUCAGGUUCCUAUGGCAAUGAGUAUGAAAAAGGCUGUCUUAUGGGUUAAAGGCAGGAGGAAGCUGUGAAAUUUCAGUCAGUUUCUAACAGAUUACAUGGUAUAACAUUCCAGUGGCAAUUUCUACAGUAAUAUUACAAGCUGUGUCUGCUGAUACGACCUUAGCACUCAUAACAUUCGAAAAUACAAAUGUGGUAAAGCUUAA